GCCCAAGUUUAUGUGAUGAUUUGCAUCCCUGCUCUUCCUCCAUCAGAGAAAUACAAAUGAAGACUGCUUUGAGAUUCCAUGUGACCCAGUGAGACUAACCAUCAUCAAGAAGACCAACAUCAACAAAUGCUGGCAGCUUUCGUAUUCCAGCUGCAGACAAGAUAUUUACAGAGUCAGGGCAUCAUUAUGCCCCAAGUUGUUAUUGGGAUCGCAGCAAAUGUUGUCAACGUGGACAUGAAUACCCUCUUGCUGUGUGCCUU
Long non-coding RNA from Nannospalax galili (Upper Galilee mountains blind mole rat), 260 nucleotides. RefSeq lists it as uncharacterized. Lineage: Eukaryota; Metazoa; Chordata; Mammalia; Rodentia; Spalacidae. The transcript is spliced from 4 exons. The record is from RefSeq and is a predicted model, not a curated record.